GACCGUGAAAACCUGGGGCUCAACCCCAGGCCUGCGGUCGAUACGGGCAGGCUAGAGUUCGGUAGGGGAGACUGGAAUUCCUGGUGUAGCGGUGAAAUGCGCAGAUAUCAGGAGGAACACCGGUGGCGAAGGCGGGUCUCUGGGCCGAUACUGACGCUGAGGAGCGAAAGCGUGGGGAGCGAACAGGAUUAGAUACCCUGGUAGUCCACGCUGUAAACGUUGGGCGCUAGGUGUGGGGGGCCUCUCCGGUUCCCUGUGCCGCAGCUAACGCAUUAAGCGCCCCGCCUGGGGAGUACGGCCGCAAGGCUAAAACCCAAAGGAAUUGACGGGGGCCCGCACAAGCGGCGGAGCAUGCGGAUUAAUUCGAUGCAACGCGAAGAACCUUACCAAGGCUUGACAUCCUGCGAAUCUCCAAGAAAUUGGAGAGUGCCUUCGGGAACGCAGUGACAGGUGGUGCAUGGCCGUCGUCAGCUCGUGUCGUGAGAUGUUGGGUUAAGUCCCGCAACGAGCGCAACCCACGUUUUUAGUUGCCAGCAUUCAGUUGGGCACUCUAGAAAGACUGCCGGUGACAAACCGGAGGAAGGUGUGGACGACGUCAAGUCAUCAUGCCCCUUACGCCUUGGGCUACACACGUACUACAAUGCUGCGGACAAAGAGUAGCGAUCUUGCGAAAGUUAGCUAAUCUCGUAAACCGUGGCUCAGUUCAGAUCGUAGGCUGCAACUCGCCUACAUGAAGGAGGAAUCGCUAGUAAUCGCAGGUCAGCAUACUGCGGUGAAUACGUUCCCGGGCCUUGUACACACUGCCCGUCACACCAUGGAAGUUGGCCAUGCCCGAAGUCGUUACUCUAACCUUCUUGGAAGAGGGCGCCGAAGGCAGGGCUAAUGACUGGGGUGAAGUCGUAACAAGGUAGCCGUA
This 916-nucleotide ribosomal RNA is filed under the name uncultured Actinomycetes bacterium. RNAcentral's name for it is "bacterial SSU rRNA". It matches the Rfam family "Bacterial small subunit ribosomal RNA", at positions 590 to 1504 of the family's 1533-position model. The record is from RNAcentral. Lineage: Bacteria; Bacillati; Actinomycetota; Actinomycetes.